UUAGUGGAAGCGUCUGGAAAGGCGCGCGAUACAGGGUGACAGCCCCGUACACAAAAGCGCAUGUGCUGUGAGCUCGAUGAGUAGGGCGGGACACGUGGUAUCCUGUCUGAAUAUGGGGGGACCAUCCUCCAAGGCUAAAUACUCCUGACUGACCGAUAGUGAACCAGUACCGUGAGGGAAAGGCGAAAAGAACCCCGGCGAGGGGAGUGAAAAAGAACCUGAAACCGUGUACGUACAAGCAGUGGGAGCCCCACCACCAAAGCAUUCUCUGGUGUUGAAGGCCCUGCAAAGCAGCAUCGCGGUGGCGGAGCGUCGUUUGCGACGCCCAACACACAAAACAAGCGGUGAGUGCUUUGGGGUGGGGUGACUGCGUACCUUUUGUAUAAUGGGUCAGCGACUUAUAUUCUGUAGCAAGGUUAACCGAAUAGGGGAGCCGGAGGGAAACCGAGUCUUAAUUGGGCGUUAAGUUGCAGGGUAUAGACCCGAAACCCGGUGAUCUAGCCAUGGGCAGGUUGAAGGUUGGGUAACACUAACUGGAGGACCGAACCGACUAAUGUUGAAAAAUUAGCGGAUGACCUGUGGCUGGGGGUGAAAGGCCAAUCAAACCGGGAGAUAGCUGGUUCUCCCCGAAAGCUAUUUAGGUAGCGCCUCGUGAAUUCAUCUCCGGGGGUAGAGCACUGUUUCGGCUAGGGGGCCAUCCCGGCUUACCAACCCGAUGCAAACUGCGAAUACCGGAGAAUGUUAUCACGGGAGACACACGGCGGGUGCUAACGUCCGUCGUGAAGAGGGAAACAACCCAGACCGCCAGCUAAGGUCCCAAAGUCAUGGUUAAGUGGGAAACGAUGUGGGAAGGCCCAGACAGCCAGGAUGUUGGCUUAGAAGCAGCCAUCAUUUAAAGAAAGCGUA
Molecule: ribosomal RNA, 906 nt
Filed under: Salmonella enterica subsp. enterica serovar Kentucky
Lineage: Bacteria; Pseudomonadati; Pseudomonadota; Gammaproteobacteria; Enterobacterales; Enterobacteriaceae
Description: bacterial LSU rRNA
Rfam family: Bacterial large subunit ribosomal RNA
Source: RNAcentral